Molecule: non-coding RNA, 888 nt
Filed under: Forcipiger longirostris (longnose butterflyfish)
Lineage: Eukaryota; Metazoa; Chordata; Actinopteri; Chaetodontiformes; Chaetodontidae
Description: partial 12S ribosomal RNA
Rfam family: Bacterial small subunit ribosomal RNA
Source: RNAcentral
ACUAACAACUCUAGCUAGACUUACACAUGCAAGUAUCCGCGCCCCGGUGAGAAUGCCCUUUAUGCCCUGCUCGGGACUGAGGAGCUGGUAUCAGGCACACUUAAAUGAAGCCCACGACGCCUUGCUUAUGGCCACACCCCCAUGGGAAUCCAGCAGUGAUAGACAUUAAGCUAUAAGUGAAAACUUGACUUAGUUAGUGCUUACAGGGUCGGUAAAACUCGUGCCAGCCACCGCGGUUAUACGAGAGACUCAAGUUGUUAGUCGUCGGCGUAAAGAGUGGUUAAGAGAUACAAAAAACUAAAGCCGAACGCCUUCAGAGCAGUUAUACGCUUCCGAAGGUAAGAAGCCCGACUACGAAAGUGGCUUUAUCAAUUCUGACUCCACGAAAGCUAGGGAACAAACUGGGAUUAGAUACCCCACUAUGCCUAGCCCUAAACAUUGACAGUACGUUACAUCAGCUGUCCGCCUGGGUACUACGAGCACGAGCUUAAAACCCAAAGGACUUGGCGGUGCUUUAGACCCAUCUAGAGGAGCCUGUCCGAGAACCGAUAAUCCCCGUUAAACCUCACCCUUCCUUGUUCUUUCCGCUUAUAUACCACCGUCGCCAGCCUACCCUGUGAGGGAUUCAAAUAGUGGGCGUAAUCGGUACAACCCCAAACGUCAGGUCGAGGUGUAGCGUAUGGAGGGGGAUGAGAUGGGCUACAGUCACUAAGAACAGUGAAUACGAAUGAUCGCUCUGAAACGAGUAUCUGAAGAAGGAUUUAGUAGUAAGCAAAAAGCAGAGUGUUUUGCUGAAUUUGGCGCUGAAGCGUGCACACACCGCCCGUCACUCUCCCUGAAUUAGUCCGGAUGAUAACUAAUACCCCACAUAAGAAACAAGGGGAGACA